GAUUAACGCUAGCGGCAUGUCUAAGGCAUGCAAGUCGAGCGACGUGCCCCGACUUCGGUUGGGGAUGACGAGCGGCAAACGGGUGAGUAACACACUGGUAACCUACCUUCUUCUCGAGGAUAGCCCACCGAAAGGUGAAUUAAUACUCGAUAGUAAUGCGGGGUCAUAUGACAUUCGCAUUUAAAGAUUUAUCGGAAGAAGAGGGGCCUAUGGCUGAUUAGCUUGUUGGUGGGGUAAAAGCCUACCAAGGCAAUGAUCAGUAGCAGGCGUGAGAGCGUGACCUGCCUCACCGGGACUGAGACACUGCCCGGACUCCUACGGGAGGCUGCAGUCAAGAAUCUUCCGCAAUGGGCGAAAGCCUGACGGAGCGAUGCCGCGUGCAGGAUGAAGGCCUUCGGGUCGUAAACUGCUUUUCUGUGGGAAGAACUCGUGACGGUACCACAGGAAUAAGGGGUUGCUAACUCUGUGCCAGCAGCAGCGGUAAUACAAGAGACCUCAAGCAUUAUCCGGAUUUAUUGGGCGUAAAGCGUCCGCAGGUUGUUUAACAAGUCAAGAGUCAAAACUUCAGGCUUAACCUUGGAGAUCGCUCUUGAAACUGUUAAACUAGAGGAUGGGAGAGGCAAGCGGAACUGCAGGUGUAGUCGAAUAAGCGUUGAUAUCUGCAGGAACACCAAAGGCGAAGGCAGCUUGCUGGAACAUUCCUGACACUCAUGGACGAAAGCGUGGGUAGCGAAUGGGAUUAGAUACCCCAGUAGUCCACGCCCUAAACGAUGCGCACUAGGUAUUGGCAGUAUCGACCCUGUCAGUGCCGUUGAAAAAAGCUAACGCGUUAAGUGCGCCGCCUGGGGAGUACGGCCGCAAGGUUAAAACUCAAAGGAAUAGACGGGGACCCGCACAAGCGGUGGAUCAUGUGGUUUAAUCCGAUGAUAAGCGGGGAACCUUACCCAGACUUGACAUCUAGCUGCAUCCCAGUGGAAACACAGGGAGCCUUCGAGGGUGCUAGACAGGUGCUGCAUGGUUGCCGUCAGCUCGUGCCGUAAGGUGUACCG
This 1049-nucleotide ribosomal RNA is filed under the name uncultured Parcubacteria group bacterium. Its description in RNAcentral is "bacterial SSU rRNA". It matches the Rfam family "Bacterial small subunit ribosomal RNA", at positions 28 to 1079 of the family's 1533-position model. The record is from RNAcentral.